AGCAGGCCAUAUUUGAACUUAGGUCACAGCGUAAAGGACUGAGCCUCACAGGACACGAUCCACUAGCUAUCGAGGCUCCCUUGCUUUUAUUCCUCUUUAAGGUCAACGCAGAGUUUCAACAAAUCACCACCAUAAAUCUUGAGGCAAAAUUCAUGUCAAUUUUGGACCUUCAUUCCCCUAAACUCCUUUCCAGAGAGAAACAUCGUGCAGAAAUGAAUAUUUCCUACAGAGUGGAAUUUCCAUUCAGAAAACCAUAGAAGUCAUCCGAUCAAUCAUCAAUGAUCAAUCAUCAAUCACCUUGGUGAAGAUGAUCAAAGAGUUUGAGGUGAUGGCUGUGUACCUGUUCCGGAAUAAAAGUGGACAGGUCAAUGAUGUUGGGAUCGUCAUUGAAGGUUCCAUUGUACUCAACCAUCUUGGGGAUCUUAGCAGAUCCUGUUGCUUCCUGCUAGCACUGACCCUAUGCUUUGGAUCUGAAAUAUCCCAAAACUCAUGGAAGUGGAUUCCGGAAACCUUUCAGCAAAGGUGCAAAGACUGAAACAAUGUGGUCAUAUAGGUUGCUGAGAGGCAGCUGUUCAGAUGAGAAAAUAUGUUUUAUUUAAUCAGACAAUCUCCAGGUGUGGUCAGGCUCAAAGUGUUGGACAGAUUUCAAUUCUUAUAACAAGAAUGAAUUUAUUACGCUUUAUUUUUCCAUGUCUUUGGGUGUAAACACAUUUACAACAUAAGUUCCUUAUGACUUGGCCAUUUAGUUGUUUAUUCCUUUUAAAACAUUGCUCUGGGUUGUCCUUUUAUAUUCGAAGUAGAUGUGUAUAAAAUCAGUGUCUCACCCUGCCUGCAGACUGUAAUGUGUUGUGUAAAUGUAGAAUGCUAAAAGAUGACUACAGUAUUUUUUGAGUGUAAAUGAUUGAUACCCGAUGGCCGGAGUCAAGUUUUUGCAUCUAACAGGUUCAGAUUGUUAUAAGUGUCUAGCGACAUUGUGAAUAGGAUACCUUAUGCACUUCUCACUUAUUUGCGCUAUACUUUGUCAUUGAUGUUGCUACUAGUGUUUCACAUGUGCAUGCAUUGCAAUCAAAUAAAACGUUCAUGUUU
Molecule: long non-coding RNA, 1086 nt
Organism: Perca fluviatilis (European perch)
Lineage: Eukaryota; Metazoa; Chordata; Actinopteri; Perciformes; Percidae
Exons: 4
Source: RefSeq, a predicted model, not a curated record